Molecule: ribosomal RNA, 399 nt
Filed under: uncultured bacterium
Lineage: Bacteria
Description: bacterial SSU rRNA
Rfam family: Bacterial small subunit ribosomal RNA
Source: RNAcentral
GGGGAAUAUUGCACAAUGGGGGAAACCCUGAUGCAGCGACGCCGCGUGAGCGAUGAAGGUUUUCGAAUCGUAAAGCUCUGUCCUUGGAGAAGAUAAUGACGGUAUCCAAGGAGGAAGCACCGGCUAAAUACGUGCCAGCAGCCGCGGUAAUACGUAUGGUGCGAGCGUUGUCCGGAAUUAUUGGGCGUAAAGGGUACGUAGGCGGUUUAUCAAGUCAGAUGUUAAAGCGUGGGGCUCAACCCCAUAAAGCAUUUGAAACUGAUAAACUUGAGUAGUGGAGAGGAAAGUGGAAUUCCUAGUGUAGCGGUGAAAUGCGUAGAUAUUAGGAGGAAUACCAGUUGCGAAGGCGACUUUCUGGACACAAACUGACGCUGAGGUACGAAAGCGUGGGGAGCAAAC